GAACAUAAGAAAAAUAAACCAGAAAACAAUGCAAUUGGUUACUUCCAGGAGGGAGGGGAGUGAGGAACCUGGGGGAAGGGACAGGGCAAGUGACACCUCUAUGAGUAAACCAUGCUAUCGAGUUUCGACUGUUAGAAAGUGGGCCAAUGGUCUACAUAUUAAAAAUAAUAAUAAAAUUAACAAGAAAUUAAACAAAAACUGAAUGCAAAUGGAAAUAGAUGAACCCAACUGUAUUUCAAAUGAAUAAACUAAUAGCCCUGGAGACAGAGAAGGAAUCAAAGUGACUGUGGAACACUGACUAUAUAGUGCCAGUAGGGAAAACAAAAGACCGACCAAGAUUGUGUUCUUUUUAGUAGAUUUGUUUUGCAUGGAGGUAUAGGGACAGUGAAUCUCAAACUACUUUACAUGUGUUGGAGGAUUGAAAAAAUGAGUAAAUGUGUCCAUAGUUUGGGAGUUUUCACUGUGGCAGGGGAGUAUGGAAUUAAGAAAAGCAAGAAAGAACUCCAUGGCGCUGGACUGGAAUUGAAGGCAUUUGUAUGAACUCAUAAUUUUAAGAACACAUAGACACAAACACACAUGACUCAGCUUUGUCCUUUCAAAGAGAUUACAAGCAAAGACUCCCACUAUCACCAUUCCUCAUUAAAAGGAAGCAGGGCUCCUGGAAUAAGUGACUGAUUCCAAGGCUAGGGAAAUAGGGCAAGGAUGACAAGUACAAUGGCCAUGAUUUAACUUGUGACGGCACAAAGGAGGGCCUGCCAACCAGUAGUUUUUCAGAGGAGGUCUCGAAACCGCAGAUGACAAAAAAAGCACUGGGCUGUCUUCAAACACUGAAAUAAUUAGCCUCACCAUUGUAUCCAAUUUUAUCGUUCUGAAUGACUCUUGAAAAUAGAUGACAUCUGACUCAUGACGAUCCUGGGGCUUCCCUGGUGGCUCAGUGGUGGAGAAUACAGCUGCCGCUGCAGGAGACAGCCACUGGAUUCCUGGUCUAAGCAGAUCCCGCACGCUGCAGAAACACCAGGCCUGCGUGCCACAACGACUGAGGCUGCUCUAAAGCCGGGAGCUGCGACUACUGAGCGCGCUGCCGCAGCUACCGGAGCCCACACCAUGAGAAGCUCCAACUACAGAGCGGCUCUUGCUUGCUGCAACUAGAGAAAAGCCCACGUAGCAAUGAGGACCUGGCACAGCCAAAAAGAACUGAGUGAUAAAAAAGACAAGACACUGAAACCCAUGCCGGAAACAGCUGCCAAACCCAGUUCUGAGGAGCUGUUACCCAGGUGACGGGACUGUCAGCGGAGCUCUGACCCAGCCCACAGGGAAUGGUUCUUACGAGGUCUGUGCGGGCUCAAGUGGUGACUGUGCUCCAUACUGGAUCGAGAUGUCACAGUUCCUGAGGUGGGGCACUUUGCCCAGCGGAGACAAUGCAAACUUAUUAUUCUGCCUCCAGGGAAAUCUAUGCUGGAAUGGCUGAGAUCUCGGACUUCACUAACUGGAAUGAAAAGAGCAACGUUACAGCAUCCAGGUUAGCGUGUUCCGGCCCCCUCAGACUGGAGAGGAGUCGUUUGAAUGUGGGAAACUUCUGCGCGACAGUACUGAAGUCAAGAUGCCUCUUCCCCAGUUAAGGAGAGCUGCAAGCUACCCACUGCUAAGUCCAAGGCUGCCCUUUCUUCUUGCUCUCUGCAAAUGUCACAGAAAAGACGGAACUUACAAGACUUAGCUUUAGUCUUAUUUUGAUGGGAGAAAUUACAUGCGUGGGGGAAUUUCUAAUCAUUACUGGGCUGGGUUUGCGAGGCUGGGAGACAGUUUAAAUAAUUCACUAGAUACUGGCAUGUGUGUUCUGGCAUAAGAAGGCUCCAAAAAAGUAUUUGAGGUGAAGGGUGUUCAGAAACAGCAACAACGUAUAUGCUGUGUUCUCAACAUUCGGUCACAGGGUAUAAAGUGCUAAAUAAAGGGCGAGUGAAAUCAUCUGUGUUAAGAAAUUUUUUUUUUUAGAUGUGAAACUUCACUUAGUUGGAAUUUAUGUUUUGAAUCAGGGGUUGGCAAACUUUUUCUUACAGGGCGGGUGAGUAAUCAUUUCAGGCUGGUGGGCCAUAC
Long non-coding RNA from Odocoileus virginianus texanus, 2091 nucleotides. RefSeq lists it as uncharacterized. The record is from RefSeq and is a predicted model, not a curated record. NCBI's taxonomy places the organism in Eukaryota, Metazoa, Chordata, Mammalia, Artiodactyla, Cervidae.